RNAcentral lists this transfer RNA (95 nucleotides) under Cellulomonas sp. RNAcentral describes it as "tRNA-Ser". It matches the Rfam family "tRNA". Rfam says of the family: Transfer RNA (tRNA) molecules are approximately 80 nucleotides in length. Their secondary structure includes four short double-helical elements and three loops (D, anti-codon, and T loops). Further hydrogen bonds mediate the characteristic L-shaped molecular structure. tRNAs have two regions of fundamental functional importance: the anti-codon, which is responsible for specific mRNA codon recognition, and the 3' end, to which the tRNAs corresponding amino acid is attached (by aminoacyl-tRNA synthetases). tRNAs cope with the degeneracy of the genetic code in two manners: having more than one tRNA (with a specific anti-codon) for a particular amino acid; and 'wobble' base-pairing, i.e. permitting non-standard base-pairing at the 3rd anti-codon position. The record is from RNAcentral. Lineage: Bacteria; Bacillati; Actinomycetota; Actinomycetes; Micrococcales; Cellulomonadaceae. RNAcentral also lists the same sequence under 3 other names.
GGAGGGCUGGCUGAGCGGCCGAAAGCGACGGUCUUGAAAACCGUUGGGGCGGGACAACCCCGUCCUCGUGGGUUCGAAUCCCACGCCCUCCGCCA